Molecule: long non-coding RNA, 756 nt
Organism: Oncorhynchus tshawytscha (Chinook salmon)
Lineage: Eukaryota; Metazoa; Chordata; Actinopteri; Salmoniformes; Salmonidae
Source: Ensembl
CAAACAAUCACUUAAGAAUGCGAAUAAAAAAACAUAUUUACAGUGCGCAGGUGAACCGGAAACCUAGUGAAAGGUAACAAUGUGAGGCACAGCUGGUCAGAAAGCCGUGUGCUGAGAGCCGGCUCCAGGGCUGCAAUACACUGAGGCCUCUCCACUCGUUGUGCACAAGAUCUGCUGUUCUCUUUCACUGUUGAUGGCACACCUCUGGAAAAGCAGCCGUCGCAUCCGUAUGGACACCCUGAAGCACUGGAAUGGGACUGGAGGGACUUGUGAAGAAGACUAAAGGAUGCCUACCCAUCCCGUCUGUAGCUGUACUAACUAUUGGGACUCCUGAAUAAACCAGUAAACCAGGCUGUCGUCUUGGGAAACAGUGGAUGUAAAGAAUCUAGAAGCUAAAGCAUUUACUGCAAAUUAAAUGUACAUUUUGUCACGACUUCUAUUGAAGGCGAUGCCACUCCUUGUUCGGGCGGUGCUCGGCGGUCAACGUCACCGGUCUUCUAGCCAUCAUUGGUCCAUUUUUCAUUUUCCAUUGGUUUUGUCUUGUCUUCCUACACACCUGGUUUCAAUCCCAUUCGUUACCUGUUGUGUAUUUAACCCCUGUUUCCCCUCAUGUCUUAGUCAGAGAUAGUUUGUUGUUCAGUAUUCGUGUUGUUUGUAUUGGUGCGCGACGGGUGCUCGUACCCACUUUGUUUUAUUGUAUUCAUGGUUUUGGAGUUAUGUUUUUUUUCAAGUUAUUAAACAACUCCAUUCUACUAA